CAUGCAAGUCGAGGGGCAGCAUCAUCAAAGCUUGCUUUGAUGGAUGGCGACCGGCGCACGGGUGAGUAACACGUAUCCAACCUGCCGACAACACUGGGAUAGCCUUUCGAAAGAAAGAUUAAUACCGGAUGGUAUAGUUUUCCCGCAUGGGAUGAUUAUUAAAGAAUUUCGGUUGUCGAUGGGGAUGCGUUCCAUUAGGCAGUUGGCGGGGUAACGGCCCACCAAACCUACGAUGGAUAGGGGUUCUGAGAGGAAGGUCCCCCACAUUGGAACUGAGACACGGUCCAAACUCCUACGGGAGGCAGCAGUGAGGAAUAUUGGUCAAUGGACGAGAGUCUGAACCAGCCAAGUAGCGUGAAGGAUGACUGCCCUAUGGGUUGUAAACUUCUUUUAUACGGGAAUAAAGUGAGCCACGUGUGGCUUUUUGUAUGUACCGUAUGAAUAAGGAUCGGCUAACUCCGUGCCAGCAGCCGCGGUAAUACGGAGGAUCCGAGCGUUAUCCGGAUUUAUUGGGUUUAAAGGGAGCGUAGGCGGGUUGUUAAGUCAGUUGUGAAAGUUUGCGGCUCAACCGUAAAAUUGCAGUUGAUACUGGCGACCUUGAGUGCAACAGAGGUAGGCGGAAUUCGUGGUGUAGCGGUGAAAUGCUUAGAUAUCACGAAGAACUCCGAU
Molecule: ribosomal RNA, 669 nt
Filed under: uncultured bacterium
Lineage: Bacteria
Description: bacterial SSU rRNA
Rfam family: Bacterial small subunit ribosomal RNA
Source: RNAcentral